GACGAACGCUGGCGGCGCGCCUAACACAUGCAAGUCGAACGGAGCUGAGAGAAGCUUGCUUUUCUUAGCUUAGUGGCGAACGGGUGAGUAACGCGUGAGUAACCUGCCCUGGAGUGGGGGACAACAGUUGGAAACGACUGCUAAUACCGCAUAAGCCCACGAUCCGGCAUCGGCUUGAGGGAAAAGGAUUUAUUCGCUUCAGGAUGGACUCGCGUCCAAUUAGCUAGUUGGUGAGGUAACGGCCCACCAAGGCGACGAUUGGUAGCCGGACUGAGAGGUUGAGCGGCCACAUUGGGACUGAGACACGGCCCAGACUCCUACGGGAGGCAGCAGUGGGGGAUAUUGCACAAUGGGGGAGACCCUGAUGCAGCGACGCCGCGUGGAGGAAGAAGGUUUUCGGAUUGUAAACUCCUGUAGUUAGGGACGAUAAUGACGGUACCUAACAAGAAAGCACCGGCUAACUACGUG
Molecule: ribosomal RNA, 468 nt
Filed under: uncultured bacterium
Lineage: Bacteria
Description: partial 16S ribosomal RNA
Rfam family: Bacterial small subunit ribosomal RNA
Source: RNAcentral